GACGAACGCUGGCGGCGUGCUUAACACAUGCAAGUCGAACGGAAAGGCCCUGCUUUUGUGGGGUGCUCGAGUGGCGAACGGGUGAGUAACACGUGAGUAACCUGCCCUUGACUUUGGGAUAACUUCAGGAAACUGGGGCUAAUACCGGAUAGGAGCUCCUGCUGCAUGGGGGGGGUUGGAAAGUUUCGGCGGUUGGGGAUGGACUCGCGGCUUAUCAGCUUGUUGGGGGGGUAGUGGCUUACCAAGGCUUUGACGGGUAGCCGGCCUGAGAGGGUGACCGGCCACAUUGGGACUGAGAUACGGCCCAGACUCCUACGGGAGGCAGCAGUGGGGAAUAUUGCACAAUGGGCGGAAGCCUGAUGCAGCAACGCCGCGUGCGGGAUGACGGCCUUCGGGUUGUAAACCGCUUUCGCCUGUGACGAAGCGUGAGUGACGGUAAUGGGUAAAGAAGCACCGGCUAACUACGUG
RNAcentral lists this ribosomal RNA (468 nucleotides) under uncultured bacterium. RNAcentral describes it as "partial 16S ribosomal RNA". It matches the Rfam family "Bacterial small subunit ribosomal RNA", at positions 28 to 507 of the family's 1533-position model. The record is from RNAcentral.